GCUCCGCUGACGACCGGCGCACGGGUGCGUAACGCGUAUAGAACCUACCUUUUACAGAGGGAUAGCCUUUAGAAAUGAAGAUUAAUACCUUAUGGUAUUAAGGAUUCGCAUGAAUUCUUAAUUAAAGAUUUAUCGGUAAAAGAUGGCUAUGCGUCCUAUUAGCUAGAUGGUAAGGUAACGGCUUACCAUGGCGACGAUAGGUAGGGGUCCUGAGAGGGAGAUCCCCCACACUGGUACUGAGACACGGACCAGACUCCUACGGGAGGCAGCAGUGAGGAAUAUUGGGCAAUGGAGGCAACUCUGACCCAGCCAUGCCGCGUGCAGGAAGAAGGCCCUAUGGGUUGUAAACUGCUUUUAUACAGGAAGAAACACUCGUACGUGUACGAGCUUGACGGUACUGUAAGAAUAAGCACCGGCUAACUCCGUGCCAGCAGCCGCGGUAAUACGGAGGGUGCAAGCGUUAUCCGGAAUCAUUGGGUUUAAAGGGUCCGCAGGCGGUCAAUUAAGUCAGAGGUGAAAUCCCAUAGCUCAACUAUGGAACUGCCUUUGAUACUGGUUGACUUGAGUCAUAUGGAAGUAGAUAGAAUGUGUAGUGUAGCGGUGAAAUGCAUAGAUAUUACACAGAAUACCGAUUGCGAAGGCAGUCUACUACGUAUGUACUGACGCUGAGGGACGAAAGCGUGGGGAGCGAACAGGAUU
RNAcentral lists this ribosomal RNA (699 nucleotides) under uncultured bacterium. RNAcentral's name for it is "bacterial SSU rRNA". It matches the Rfam family "Bacterial small subunit ribosomal RNA", at positions 82 to 779 of the family's 1533-position model. The record is from RNAcentral.